RNAcentral lists this ribosomal RNA (467 nucleotides) under uncultured bacterium. RNAcentral's name for it is "partial 16S ribosomal RNA". It matches the Rfam family "Bacterial small subunit ribosomal RNA", at positions 28 to 523 of the family's 1533-position model. The record is from RNAcentral.
GAUGAAUGCUGGCGGCGUGCCUAACACAUGCAAGUCGAGCGGCAGCGCGGAGAGUUUACUCUCUGGCGGCGAGCGGCGGACGGCUGAGUAACGCGUGGGAACGUGCCCCAAAGUGAGGAAUAACUGCCCGAAAGGGUAGCUAAUGCCGCAUAUGGUCUUCGGAUUAAAGGAUUUAUCCGCUUUGGGAGCGGCCCGCGUUAGAUUAGGUAGUUGGUAGGGUAAUGGCCUACCAAGCCGACGAUCUAUAGCUGGUCUGAGAGGAUGAUCAGCCAGACUGGGACUGAGACACGGCCCAGACUCCUACGGGAGGCAGCAGUGAGGAAUCUUCCACAAUGGGCGAAAGCCUGAUGGAGCAACGCCGCGUGAAGGAUGAAGGCCCUCGGGUUGUAAACUUCUUUUAUAAGUGAAGAAUAUGACGGUAACUUAUGAAUAAGCACCGGCUAACUACGUGCCAGCAGCCGCAGUAA